Molecule: transfer RNA, 77 nt
Filed under: Candidatus Electrothrix aarhusensis
Lineage: Bacteria; Pseudomonadati; Thermodesulfobacteriota; Desulfobulbia; Desulfobulbales; Desulfobulbaceae
Description: Candidatus Electrothrix aarhusiensis tRNA-Pro
Rfam family: tRNA
About the family: Transfer RNA (tRNA) molecules are approximately 80 nucleotides in length. Their secondary structure includes four short double-helical elements and three loops (D, anti-codon, and T loops).
Source: RNAcentral
CGGGGCGUAGCGCAGCCUGGUUAGCGUGCUGCCUUGGGAGCAGGAGGUCGUAGGUUCGAAUCCUACCGCCCCGACCA